GACAGAGGUGCCGAGCGUUAGGCGGAAUCACUGGGCUUAAAGCGUGUGUAGGCGGACCGUUAAGUACCUUGUGAAAUCCCCCGGCUCAACCGGGGAACGGCUGGGUAUACUGGCGGUCUUGAGCCACCUAGGGGCGAGCGGAACAAGCGGUGGAGCGGUGAAAUGCGUAGAUAUCGCUUGGAACGCCGACGGUGAAAACAGCUCGCUGGGGGUGUGCUGACGCUGAGACGCGAAAGCCAGGGGAGCGAACGGG
This 253-nucleotide ribosomal RNA is filed under the name uncultured bacterium. RNAcentral's name for it is "partial 16S ribosomal RNA". It matches the Rfam family "Bacterial small subunit ribosomal RNA", at positions 524 to 776 of the family's 1533-position model. The record is from RNAcentral.